AACUAUAAAGCACUCAUAAGGGAAAAGAGAAGAAACCAUAAAGCACUCAUAGCCUGAAUAAGAACAACACCUAUACAGUGAGCAAGCCAGAAGAAUCAAAUCCCCAGUAAGUGUUCAUUAGGGAAUUUGCAUCCAGCAUGAUUACCUUGCAAUACUCCUUAAUUCAUGCAUGAAUAAUAUUGGUUUAGUAUAUAUAUUAAGAUGAUGUAUUCAUGGUUUGGUGGAUGUUGAUAUUGCUUUAUUCAAGUAUACAUCUG
RNAcentral lists this long non-coding RNA (257 nucleotides) under Lathyrus oleraceus (garden pea). RNAcentral's name for it is "Pisum sativum (pea) long non-coding RNA (PSAT_LNC040145)". Lineage: Eukaryota; Viridiplantae; Streptophyta; Magnoliopsida; Fabales; Fabaceae. The record is from RNAcentral.